CAAGCAUUAAAUUAACUCAAGGUUAUUUUUGAGUAACUUGGUGUUCAUUAAGAGAAAAUCAUAAGGAAUGGAAAUUGAUCAUAAAGCAAACUCCAGAAAUCUUUGAUGGAUAUAGGAGCUGUUCCUGCUGUCCCACUUGCAAGCAGAGCAGAACGUUUCUGGAAAUUGAGCUCAUCUUUUCCAUUGCUCUGGGAGAGACAUUGCAAUGCUGGAGCUGUUCUGGACUCAGCUCACUCAGUUCCUUCAGAGAAAUCUGUGGGAGUGAGGUCAAAAAUAAUCUUAAGGCUUUGUCGUGAGUAG
Molecule: long non-coding RNA, 300 nt
Filed under: Numida meleagris (helmeted guineafowl)
Lineage: Eukaryota; Metazoa; Chordata; Aves; Galliformes; Numididae
Description: lncRNA (ENSNMEG00000006821.1)
Source: RNAcentral